This 301-nucleotide ribosomal RNA is filed under the name uncultured bacterium. RNAcentral's name for it is "partial 16S ribosomal RNA". It matches the Rfam family "Bacterial small subunit ribosomal RNA", at positions 509 to 807 of the family's 1533-position model. The record is from RNAcentral.
CAGUCGCCGCGGUAACACGUAGGGUGCAAGCGUUAUCCGGAAUUAUUGGGCGUAAAGAGCUCGUAGGCGGUUUGUCGCGUCUGCUGUGAAAACUGGAGGCUCAACCUCCAGCCUGCAGUGGGUACGGGCAGACUAGAGUGCGGUAGGGGAGAUUGGAAUUCCUGGUGUAGCGGUGGAAUGCGCAGAUAUCAGGAGGAACACCGAUGGCGAAGGCAGAUCUCUGGGCCGUAACUGACGCUGAGGAGCGAAAGCAUGGGGAGCGAACAGGAUUAGAUACCCCGGUAGUCCCUGUCUCUUAUAC